Long non-coding RNA from Phycodurus eques (leafy seadragon), 1089 nucleotides. RefSeq lists it as uncharacterized. NCBI's taxonomy places the organism in Eukaryota, Metazoa, Chordata, Actinopteri, Syngnathiformes, Syngnathidae. The record is from RefSeq and is a predicted model, not a curated record. The transcript has 4 exons.
UUGGAGUAGGAAAUGUGUAACAAUAGUGUAGGGAUUGUAGUGUAGCAAUCGUGUAGAAAGUGUUACUUAGCAAUGUGUCUGUGUUGUGUCGGGAUUGUUGCGUCGCAAGCGUUGUGAGGCAAUUGUUGUGUAACAAAAGUGUGUCUUAACUUUGUUCAAAUGAAUGACCAGUCGCCUCAGUGCAACACUUGGAAUAAGAUUAUAUUGUGCAAAGGAGGCUUUCCCGAUGUGUAGCGUCCGACGCGCUCCGAGCCUCACCCUACACCGCGUGGAGCGAAGUCAAGUCAACUCUCAGUCAACUGGGAGACCAAACCAUUGAAAUAUAUAUACAAAGUCAUCGAAGCGCAUAUGGAAUCGAAGAUCUGAAGUGUGUUGUUGGUGUUUUCCUUCUUCAGCCAAGUCGGGAUGGGGUGAGCGGGCGCGCACGGUGACUGGGUGCGGCCCGCGCUUGCUAACGUUAGCAUUCCGACGCCAGGAAGCUUUGCUGCUGUUGUCAGUAGAAACACUUUUGAGAGAAAAACAUUUGCCCAAGUUAAACAAGCCCAUCUUCUUUGAGCAUCGUCACUGUGGAAACAAGGCUGGAACGAGCGUCACCAUGGAAACCAGGUGAGCGCAAGCGAGUAGUAGCAGUAGUAGAGCACAACAACUAAACAAAGUAGGCGGUCGAAAAGCAAGCGCAGGGAACAUUUAUUUCCAAACUUUAUUUUUGGACUUAUACACUUCAGUCUGAUUGAUGUCGAAUGGAAGCCUUUAAACAUAAAUUUAAAUAUCAUUUAACAAAACAAAACAAAACAAAACAAAAAAACAUUUACAUCCGAAGUCUUUUGUUUGAUGUUAGUUUGUGCACAUUUCUCUUUUGGAAUCUUAUCUUUGUUUAAUUAGUGGUAUAGGCAGCAAAGUUUGUUACUUAAAAAUCAAAAUCAAAAAGCAAUUAGCACCAAAACUGAUUUUCGUAUUUUUUUUCCUUAAAGUUAGCGAUGAGCACCAAAGAAGCGACCGGUCGCGUGGCGCCUCCGCUGGCGGGCGGAGCUUAGAUGAGGAGCUCGUUGUCCACAUCCUCUGGAAAGACACAAAACAUGAGCACGUCAA